UGGGGAAUUUUGGACAAUGGGCGCAAGCCUGAUCCAGCCAUGCCGCGUGCGGGAAGAAGGCCUUCGGGUUGUAAACCGCUUUUGUCAGGGAAGAAAUCUUCUGAGUUAAUACCUCGGGAGGAUGACGGUACCUGAAGAAUAAGCACCGGCUAACUACGUGCCAGCAGCCGCGGUAAUACGUAGGGUGCAAGCGUUAAUCGGAAUUACUGGGCGUAAAGCGUGCGCAGGCGGUUUUGUAAGACAGAGGUGAAAUCCCCGGGCUCAACCUGGGAACUGCCUUUGUGACUGCAAGGCUUGAGUGCGGCAGAGGGGGGAUGGAAUUCCGCGUGUAGCAGUGAAAUGCGUAGAUACGCGGAGGAACACCGAUGGCGAAGGCAAUCCCCUGGGGCCUGCACUGACGCUCAUGCACGAAAGCGUGGGGAGCAAACAGGAUUAGAUACCCUGGUAGUCCACGCCCUAAACGAUGUCAACUGGUUGUUGGGAAGGUUCCUUCUCAGUAACGUAGCUAACGCGUGAAGUUGACCGCCUGGGGAGUACGGCCGCAAGGUUG
RNAcentral lists this ribosomal RNA (550 nucleotides) under uncultured bacterium. RNAcentral's name for it is "partial 16S ribosomal RNA". It matches the Rfam family "Bacterial small subunit ribosomal RNA", at positions 355 to 896 of the family's 1533-position model. The record is from RNAcentral.